This 761-nucleotide ribosomal RNA is filed under the name uncultured Prevotella sp. RNAcentral's name for it is "bacterial SSU rRNA". It matches the Rfam family "Bacterial small subunit ribosomal RNA", at positions 28 to 776 of the family's 1533-position model. Lineage: Bacteria; Pseudomonadati; Bacteroidota; Bacteroidia; Bacteroidales; Prevotellaceae. The record is from RNAcentral.
GAUGAACGCUGGCUACAGGCUUAACACAUGCAAGUCGAGGGGAAACGGCAUUGGGUGCUUGCACUGAAUGGACGUCGACCGGCGCACGGGUGAGUAACGCGUAUCCAACCUUCCCGUUACUGCGGGAUAACCUGCCGAAAGGCAGACUAAUACCGCAUGUUCUUCGAUGACGGCAUCAGAUUCGAAGCAAAGAUUCUUCGGUAACGGAGGGGGAUGCGUCUGAUUAGCUGGUUGGCGGGGCGACGGCCCACCAAGGCGACGAUCAGUAGGGGUUCUGAGAGGAAGGUCCCCCACAUUGGAACUGAGACACGGUCCAAACUCCUACGGGAGGCAGCAGUGAGGAAUAUUGGUCAAUGGGCGGAAGCCUGAACCAGCCAAGUAGCGUGCAGGAGGACGGCCCUACGGGUUGUAAACUGCUUUUAUGCGGGGAUAAAGUGAGGGACGCGUCCCUUUUUGCAGGUACCGCAUGAAUAAGGACCGGCUAAUUCCGUGCCAGCAGCCGCGGUAAUACGGAAGGUCCGGGCGUUAUCCGGAUUUAUUGGGUUUAAAGGGAGCGUAGGCCGGGGAUUAAGUGUGUUGUGAAAUGUAGGCGCCCAACGUCUGACUUGCAGCGCAUACUGGUUCCCUUGAGUACGCGCAACGCCGGCGGAAUUCGUCGUGUAGCGGUGAAAUGCUUAGAUAUGACGAAGAACCCCGAUUGCGAAGGCAGCCGGCGGGAGCGCAACUGACGCUGAAGCUCGAAGGUGUGGGUAUCGAACAGG